UGAGGAUGUAGGUCAGUGGUAGAGCAUUUACAUAGGAUGCAUGAGGUCCUGAGUUUGACUCUCAGCACCACAA
This 73-nucleotide transfer RNA is filed under the name Marmota monax (woodchuck). RNAcentral's name for it is "tRNA.Pro". The record is from RNAcentral. Lineage: Eukaryota; Metazoa; Chordata; Mammalia; Rodentia; Sciuridae.